Seriola dumerili (greater amberjack) is the source of this 403-nucleotide long non-coding RNA. RefSeq lists it as uncharacterized. NCBI's taxonomy places the organism in Eukaryota, Metazoa, Chordata, Actinopteri, Carangiformes, Carangidae. The record is from RefSeq and is a predicted model, not a curated record. The transcript has 4 exons.
AGAUAGUGUAGACAGAAAGAGCCGGUUGGUGCCCGGCUCACAAACCAAAUACACCCUCUCAAAGAGUGCUCAGUUUAAAUGGAUAUUUUUGCAACUAGGAGUUAAGCUGGAAACACGCAUGACUGAUCUGAACAUCUUAAAGAGUCUUGAGGAGAUCACAUGACUCUAUCGUCCUACACAAAGACAGAGGGUCAUGGCAGCACAAGUCCUGGGGUAUAUGGGCACAGCUAAGAAUGGCGUCACCCAGGGCAGAGCCCUCAGACUCUCUGCUGCUCGCUGUGCCAGAAACUCUGACAAAGACCUGCAGUGAAGCUGCCGUCUUCAGUUUUGGACUCAGACUCUGGAACAGUCUCCCCACUGAUCUGAGGACAGCAACUUCAAAUGAGCUGUUUAAGGCCCUACU